This 253-nucleotide ribosomal RNA is filed under the name uncultured bacterium. RNAcentral describes it as "partial 16S ribosomal RNA". It matches the Rfam family "Bacterial small subunit ribosomal RNA", at positions 524 to 776 of the family's 1533-position model. The record is from RNAcentral.
AACGUAGGAGACAAACGUUAUCCGGAGUUACUGGGCGUAAAGGGCGUGUAGGUGGUUUCGUAAGUCUGGCGUGAAAUUUUUCGGCUUAACCGGGAAAGGUCGUCGGAUACUGCAGAACUAGAGGACGGUAGAGGCGUGUGGAAUUCCUGGUGUAGCGGUGAAAUGCGCAGAUAUCAGGAGGAACACCGGUGGCGAAGGCGGGUCUCUGGGCCGAUACUGACGCUGAGGAGCGAAAGCGUGGGUAGCAAACAGG